UACGUAGGGAGCAAGCGUUGUCCGGAAUCAUUGGGCGUAAAGCGCGCGUAGGUGGCCAUGUAAGUCCGCUGUGAAAGUCAAAGGCUCAACCUUUGAAAGCCGGUGGAUACUGCAUGGCUAGAGUACGGAAGAGGCGAGUGGAAUUCCUGGUGUAGCGGUGGAAUGCGCAGAUAUCAGGAGGAACACCAAUAGCGAAGGCAGCUCGCUGGGACGUUACUGACACUGAGGCGCGAAAGCGUGGGGAGCGAACGGGA
This 254-nucleotide ribosomal RNA is filed under the name uncultured prokaryote. RNAcentral describes it as "partial 16S ribosomal RNA". It matches the Rfam family "Bacterial small subunit ribosomal RNA", at positions 524 to 777 of the family's 1533-position model. The record is from RNAcentral.